GACGAACGCUGGCGGCGUGCUUAACACAUGCAAGUCGAACGGAAAGGCCCUGCUUUUGUGGGGUGCUCGAGUGGCGAACGGGUGAGUAACACGUGAGUAACCUGCCCUUGACUUUGGGAUAACUUCAGGGAACUGGGGCUAAUACCGGAUAGGAGCUCCUGCUGCAUGGUGGGGGUUGGAAAGUUUCGGCGGUUGGGGAUGGACUCGCGGCUUAUCAGCUUGUUGGUGGGGUAGUGGCUUACCAAGGCUUUGACGGGUAGCCGGCCUGAGAGGGUGACCGGCCACAGUGGGACUGGGAUGCGGCCCAGACUCCUACGGGAGGCAGCAGUGGGGAAUAUUGCACGAUGGGCGGAAGCCUGAUGCAGCAACGCCGCGUGCGGGAUGACGGCCUUCGGGUUGUAAACCGCUUUCGCCUGUGACGAAGCGUGAGUGACGGUAAUGGGUAAAGAAGCACCGGCUAACUACG
RNAcentral lists this ribosomal RNA (466 nucleotides) under uncultured bacterium. RNAcentral's name for it is "partial 16S ribosomal RNA". It matches the Rfam family "Bacterial small subunit ribosomal RNA", at positions 28 to 505 of the family's 1533-position model. The record is from RNAcentral.